GAUGGAAUGACCGAAUAUAGGUGAUAAACUGUAAAUUUAUUUAUGAGCUUAGCUCUUUCAUCA
Molecule: transfer RNA, 63 nt
Filed under: Paederus fuscipes
Lineage: Eukaryota; Metazoa; Arthropoda; Insecta; Coleoptera; Staphylinidae
Description: tRNA-Tyr
Source: RNAcentral